This is a long non-coding RNA of Myiozetetes cayanensis, 397 nucleotides long. RefSeq lists it as uncharacterized. The record is from RefSeq and is a predicted model, not a curated record. The transcript is spliced from 3 exons. NCBI's taxonomy places the organism in Eukaryota, Metazoa, Chordata, Aves, Passeriformes, Tyrannidae.
CUGGAGCUUUCUGCAAAACAGUGGUCUCCAGAGCUCAGGUCAACAGCUUAAUUAAGGACCAGAGGCUCAUUGGGGAGCACUUGGAAGGUUCCAGAAUCUUCCUUACAACAAUAGCAACAACUCCCCCUCCUUCAUCACCCCCCACCCCCAGCAAAAUAUGAGGGAAAAGGAAAAGGUGCCUUGCUGUGUGAGACGGGGCUUUUCUGUCCCAUUUCCAGCAGCGAGAUGAACAGAGGUAAUGCCAGUUCCCCUCCAAAUGCAGAUGGGCAUGGAAUACCAGAAGCUGUGCUCAGAGUGUCCUAAGCAAAACCUGCUCAAAGAGGAAAGCAGCCGUUCACAGGCAGAGGUACACCUGGAGCCUGGUAGUAACUAGCAACUCUUAUCUUUCCUUUUAAGA